AAAGGGGACUCAUGGGGACUUGGGUUCCAUAGAAACAGCAGGGAAAAUGGCCAUGCGUGCCAAGUGGAAAAGGACUAAAUCAGUGGGGAAGGAAAUUUUAUUGUCACAAGUUCAAAGGGGGUGUUACAAACAAGAGAGUGGGAAAAAAAAAAAAAAAACUUCAGAAAGCAGUCCCUGAAGUCAGAUCGCAAAAUACUACUAAUGAAGCCUUGCCUUAGAGCGGUUGUCAAAUACGAUGUGGUAUUUACAUCAACAGUGACUCAGGCAGCAUUUACUACUUCCCCUUUCAAGGCAGCACGACUCUGCCUGCCCUCAGAGGACUGCAGCUCCUAACCCUGCCCAUGGACCUGGCACUGGGUGAGAGGGGAAACAAUGCGGCGGGCAGUGGGACAGGAGAGCACGCGGUAUCGGCAGCCACAGAAGCCCUUCUUAAACACUGGACCUGCAGGAACCCUCAGUUCAUCACUACAUCAAUGUGCCGCUGGUGGCAAUGCUUGCAUAUAUCUACUGUAUACUUUUGUGAAGGCAAACUGAGACAACAAGAUGGGCCAUGAACUGCCACAAAGUCACUUAUAUAGCAUCACUUCCUCCAAGGAGCCUGAAGCUCUUCAACCCCACGAAGCGGUGACAGUUUUGUUCAAGGGAGCAGCAGGAAAAUAAGACACAAAGUCCCUGCCUCUCCUGUUGCCAUGUAACUGCUGGGGCUCAUCCGAGCUCAGCUAGAACAGGCUUUUUAAGCAGCAAUUAAUUUUGAUAAGGUUGCCAGACUAUGUUGCUCCUGCUUGCAUCACACUGGAAGGCUACAGAAUCUGAAGGAGCCUCCAUCUAGUCUCUGAAAUAAAACCUACAGCAGAACACUUUUGAGUUGACUU
This 872-nucleotide long non-coding RNA is filed under the name Anser brachyrhynchus (Pink-footed goose). RNAcentral describes it as "lncRNA (ENSABRG00000015756.1)". The record is from RNAcentral. Lineage: Eukaryota; Metazoa; Chordata; Aves; Anseriformes; Anatidae.